UGGAAUCUCCCGGGGAGACCUCCAGAAGGCUCCUCGCACUUGUAGGAUGUAAGUGACCGGCGCGGCAUCGCUGGGCGUUCUUCCUGCUCGUCCCAGAAAGGGCUGCUACCCCACCCCGGGCGGGCGCUGGACCAUAGUCUGGAGGUCGAAGGCCGCCCUCCCCCAGGACACGGCAGCAGCCAGCAGAGCGGAUGCCUCUCGGCCAGGACAUCCGGGUCUCCAGGGUUGGGGGAAGCAGGGGGCCGGGAGACGGACCUUGGGUCUCAGCCAACAAAUGGCUCCCGGGUGCCUCAGGCCUGCAGCACCCAGAGAAGCAGGAGAGCUGGCCUCGUGCCGGGCGUGCCUGGAGAGGCCUGUGCUGUCGGCUCCGUCCCAGCAGGAGACAGACAGAGACCCGCCCGCCCAGUCAGGAGGGGUUAAUGGGGGGCCGCUCCCGGACACGGUGGUAGCCGGUCAUCACUCAAAGGCGGCCAAGGCAGGUCUUCUUCCGCGACAGCUGCUGCGGGAGGGGGAGAGCCAGGGAGACCCGAGCCCUGCUCCCCACGCCAAGGCAGGAGGCUCCGGAAGGCUGGGCGCCCCAAAGGAAGGGCACAGGGCAGGGCUGGGGCCGUGAGGCCGGGCCACCCGGGCGAGCUAACUGGACGUGCCGGAGGCACCCUGCGGACAGGAGGCCGUGUUGUGCCUGGAGCGAGGGGCCCGGAGGGUAGGCCCUGACCUCCCCCGGGACAGGACGGGACGGGACGGGAAGGGGAGAGCGUGGGGCGCCCUGAGCGUUUGCUCCCUGGUCCUCAGGGCAACGGCGCGGGGCAGGGAGGUUUACGUCUGAAGGUGAAGGGCGGAGGAUUUGUAAUCACAAGCCGGCUAGAGAAACCGCCCUGAGAGGGGCUCUGGGGGGCCCCCGCCUAUCGCCAGGCGGGGCUGGAACAGGCAGGGGCCAGCAGAGCAGGGUCAGGCUCACUGUGGGGUUUGGACAGAGCCCUUGGUCCCAGAGUCUGCAGUUCUCACCACCCUGCGGAAGGAGCUGGGGGACAAGGGCCGUCCUGCUAGCUGCCCCCUGGCGUGGCCCAUAGGGGCACGGAGCCCCUGAAGCGGGGUCACCGGAGCUAGAGAGCAAAGGGAAGCCAACCUGCACAGAAGCUGCCAGAGGGAACUUGGGAAGGUCACAGCAGAGUGGGAAGGCGGGGAAUUUCCAAGGGGCAUCGCUGCACUACAGGGGAGGUCCCCCGCAGCACGCGUGGCCCGUGCUCUCACUCUCCCAGGGCCGUGCUGAGUCGCCCUAAAGGCCUGGAGCUCGGGGUGGGGCGUGGUUUGGAAAGGAAGCCCCAAGAUGAACUUUGGGAAGGAAAAAGAGCUGAAGUGAAAACGAGGCGCCCCCAGCAAAGCAACCAUGCAAUCAACCGCUUGAAACAGACAGAAAGAUGGACAGAAUAGUGAAAAGAAGGCCCACGUGCCCGUCCCUAAACCGUGCAGCCUCGGGCGUCCUGCGCAUCCUAGCCGGGGGCCCAUCCGCGGUGAUAUCCGUGGGCCAGGCCGUGUUCUGGGCGCUGCACGUGUGGUAACUCGAAUGUCACAUCAAACCAGGAGGAAACACUGCCGCAGUAGGUGGCAGAGCUAGAGGGGCCGGGCUGUGGUAUCCCGGGCCUGCAGCCCCUGCCUUCCACGGGAUGGCUCUCAGGACGUCACCCAGGUGCACCAUUUCUGGCUGCAGUGAAUCUUCCGUCCACGUUUCUCUGCGCUCUGGUUCUGGUGCGAGACCCUCGGGCGUAUGUUUGGGGCUGGAACGGCUACAUCGAGGAGGAAGGAGGCCCUGCUUUCCCAGAUCUUCCCUUUGUUCCCAACCCCCACCCAUGGGUGUGCGGUCACAGGUCCACGGCGAGUGUAAGUGCUGCCCUUCAGGGGUGCGAGGGGUCCCGUGUGGUUCAGCCUACGCCUCCCUGACCACUGGGGGGGGGGGGGUCCAGCCCCAGCACAUGCGUGUUAGCCGCGGGAGCUUCCUCUGCAGAAGUGUUGUAACUUCCCUCCCUUUUCGAAUUUGUUGCUGGCCUUCUGUUUAUUGAUUCCUGGACUUUCUUUAUAUAAGUCGGCGGCACUCAUUUUUUUGGUGGUGUUAUUCAUUACCAAAGUCUUCUCAUUUCUGUUCGUUUUUUCCCUUUAUUUUUGUGUCUUUUGAUGCACAGAAUUUUUGUCAUUGAAUGGAACUGAAUGUAUUCAUCAUUUCCUUUGUGGUUUGGGACACUGUGUGCCUUGCUAAGAAAUCCGUUCCCUUCCUGAAGUCAUAACUGAUUCUCUCACACUGUAUUUUGAAAAUUGUAAUGUUUAGCUUUGAACCGAAAUCCACCUGGAACUGAAUCUGGGGGAUGGCAAAUAGAAGUAAGUAUCCUAGGGCUUCCCUGGUGGCGCAGUGGUUGAGAGUACUGCAAAAAAAAAAAAAAAAAAAAAAGAAGGAAGUAUCCUAUUUUAUUUUACGUUUUCUGCCUGGGGAACAGGUCACCCCAGGACCAUUUGAAGAUCCUGCCCUUCCCCACUGGUCAGCAGGGCCCCCAGGGUCACCGCAGGCCUCCUGACGUGACGUGCGGGGUCUGCUUCUGGGCCCUUAUCUCGUGCGGUUGGCCCACCGGCCCCGCGUUUCUGAAGGCUGUGGCGUCACAAGUGGUCCAGGCAUCUGGUAAGGCAAGCCCUUGUUUUGUAUUCUUCAAAUUUUUCUUGGUUAUUCAACAACCUUUAUUCUUCCACGCGGAUUUUAGAAUCAGCUCCUCAGUACUAUUUAAAAGCCCACGAAACCUGUUGGAACUUUCACUGGCACGAGGCUGGAUGAACUCGGGAGGACCGCCGUUUCCAGCAUCGAUUCUUCCCGUGUGUGAACGUACUGUUCCUCCUCUCACGUAAUCCUCUUUCGUGUCUUACAAUAAAGUUUUAUGAUUUUUCCGUA
Molecule: long non-coding RNA, 2929 nt
Organism: Orcinus orca (killer whale)
Lineage: Eukaryota; Metazoa; Chordata; Mammalia; Artiodactyla; Delphinidae
Exons: 2
Source: RefSeq, a predicted model, not a curated record